This is an RNA transcript of Herpailurus yagouaroundi (jaguarundi), 1669 nucleotides long. It is a transcript of the gene named RIB43A domain with coiled-coils 2, with no coding region annotated. NCBI's taxonomy places the organism in Eukaryota, Metazoa, Chordata, Mammalia, Carnivora, Felidae. The transcript is spliced from 8 exons. The record is from RefSeq and is a predicted model, not a curated record.
GAGGUCGCAGAAGGACUGCAAGCUUGCGGAGCCGGCUCGAUUCGCACCCGCCCGGCCUCCUAGGGAGCCAGCCUGGCUUAGGCUGCAGCUUGGUUUAUUUUGGUUGUCUUUCCUUUUUCAUCUCGUUUGUCUUAAAACCCCCUCAGGGUUUCUUCGCGAUUUCCAGCCAUGGAGAUAGCGCAGCCCAGAGACCUGGAGCGGUACUUAAGCCUGGCCAAGAGGAGGCACGGGGAGCUGUGCCGGCAGAAACGGAUCUUCAACGCCAGGAACAGGAUCAUCGGGGGAGACACAGACGCCUGGGAUGCUCAGGUUCAUGACCAGAAGAUAAAAGAAGCAACCGAAAAAGCUAGACAUGAAACUUUUGCUGCUGAAAUGAGGCAAAAUGACAAAAUCACAUGCAUAUUAGAAGGCCAAGAAAGGAGAGAUAGGAAAAGCCUCUGUAAAGCCAUCAAUGACUUCCAGCAGACCUUCCAGAAGCCAGAAACUCGCCGUGAAUUUGACCUAUCUGACCCCCUAGCCCUUAGGAAAGAUCUCCCAGCCAGGCAGUCAGAUAACGAUAUUCGGAAUACAGUAUCGGGAAUGCAGAAAUUCAUGGGAGAGGAUUUAAACUUCCACGAGAGGAAGAAAUUCCAGGAGGAACAAAACCGAGAAUGGUCCUUACAACAGCAGCGGGAACGGGAGAGUGCCCGUGCCCACCAAAGAUGUGCAGAGGACCUCUACUUCAAGACAAGGCUGCAGUUUGAUGAAACGGCCAAGCAUUUACAGAAUCUGGAAAGUGCCACCAGAAAGGCGGUUUGUGCAGCUGUGAAAGAAUUCAACAGGAACCAGGCCACCGAGUCAGUGGAAAGGAAGACUCGGGAGAAAAAACAAGAACAAGAAGACGACUUGGCCGAGAUCUCCAACCUGCUGCGUGGGGACCUGCUCUCUGAGAACCCGCAGCAGGCAGCCAGCUCCUUCGGGCCCCACCGCGUGGUCCCCGACCGCUGGAAGGGCAUGACCCGGGAGCAGCUGGAGCAGAUCCGUCUGGUUCAGAAGCAGCAAAUCCAGGAGAAGCUGCGGCUUCGGGAAGAAGAGUGGCAGCGAGACAGGGACUGGGACCGGCAGAGGGUGCAGAGGGCUCGCUCCACUCUGCUCGUAGAGCGGCAGCAGAAACGCCAGCAGCGGGACCUACGCCGGGCACUGGACUGCGCCAACCUCAGCCUGGCCAAGGAGCAGCACUCGCAGUGUCUGUUCCCUGACGGGUCCAUUGCUGGCUGGUCACUUCCGCCGGGGGCCCCAGAGGAGCAGUAGAGAUGAUCCCACAGAAUGGAAUGAACAGAUGUCUUUACAGCCACGUCCACAGAGAUUUAAUUCUAAGACCUCUGCAGACUAUGCCGGUGCCAGUGCCCAGUGUAACCGCAGGGCGAUGAUAAAACACAUCCCUCCCUCACCCUUGAGCUCCUCGGGCUGGAAUGUAUUCCGUAUCCCGGGGCUAACACACGGGAAAAAAUAUAUGGAAGAAGUCUGUACAAAUCAACCCACUGAAGGUUAUUUCACGCAAUUUAAUACAGGAAGUCGAUAGUGAAAAAGACACGGUCCUUGUCUUCUGAAUUGUUCAGGCAUAAAACGCAGCAGCCUUUUGAAGAGUCGCAUUAAUUACAAAGAAAUACACCCCGUGUUUCAGGAGUGA